Long non-coding RNA from Nannospalax galili (Upper Galilee mountains blind mole rat), 1118 nucleotides. RefSeq lists it as uncharacterized. Lineage: Eukaryota; Metazoa; Chordata; Mammalia; Rodentia; Spalacidae. The record is from RefSeq and is a predicted model, not a curated record. The transcript is spliced from 3 exons.
AGCGCGCCGAGGUCUGCCCCUGCUGCGCAGUGGGAGCCCUUGACGUCCUCCGGGCGUGUCCUGCUUCGCUCGGUAGUUACCGUGUGUCUGACUCGUUUCGUGAAAAUUAUUUCAUGUUUGUAAAAAUGUGUCAUCGACAUCACAGAAAGGUUUCACUAUGUAGCCGAGGUUCCUGAAUGCUGAGAUUACAGGGUAGCUGAGAUUUAAACAAUUUGAUUCUUUCUCAAGAUGGUGCCCUGCCUCAGCCCACUGAAAUUGAGAACUCUUCUCCACUGCUGACCCUCCCACUGAAAAGUCACUGCUUCAUCAAGAUCCACAGCUUUAUUUGAGACUUGUGAUGGCUGUGGGCUUGUCCUAAGGAUAGGACGACCAGUCUCUUUUCAGCAGGGCUGCCUCUUUCUGCUCCUCCUUCCCCUGCUGCAGGGUAAGCAGUUGGAACUGUGUGUGGCUUGUCUUCUUUCCAGUGUGUGGCCUUUCUGUUUCUUUCCUUCUAAGCUGUCAUGUAACCCUUUUUGUGAAUUUCUACAGUUCUUCCUCUCUAUAGAAUAGUCUGCUUUUUCUUAUACUCACACUUCACCAGGUCACACAGAUGUAACUUCUGAUAAACUUGUCUUGUAAGCCCAGAAGUCAACCUCUUCUUUUUAUAAUUAGACAUUUGUUAGAGUAACAGAAAGCUAUUGUGCAUGGGAAUAAGCCAUGUGGGCUUUUCCUCAUAAAUGGAAUAAAAGAGUUUCAAAGAGCUGCUUGGUCUUUCCAUCUCUUUCACAUGUGAGGAUACAGCUUUUGUCCUUGUCUGUCCUUCUGUUCUUCCAUUGUGAAGAUGCAGCAUUAUCUCCUCUGAAGGAUGCAGCAACAGGGUGCCACCUUCAAAGCAGAACAGCCCUUGCCAGGCACCAAAUCUGCACCUUGACAUUAGACUUUCUGGCCUCCAGAACUGUGAGAAACAAGUUUAUGCCACUUAUAAAUCAGUCUUUGAACAGAACAAGACAGACUGACAACCAGUUUUAUGGGACAGUCUAUUUUUUCCAUUGAUCUGAAACGCUACCUUCACACCAAGGAACAAGCUGACCCAGGUCCCCAAGAAGCUUCAAACCAGAUGUGGCCAACAUGGUAACUAC